GCGCGAGUGGUGGAACGGCAGACACGCUGGGUUUAGGUCUCAGUGCCUUCGGGUGUGCGGGUUCGAAUCCCGCCUCGCGCA
Molecule: transfer RNA, 81 nt
Filed under: Knoellia aerolata DSM 18566
Lineage: Bacteria; Bacillati; Actinomycetota; Actinomycetes; Micrococcales; Intrasporangiaceae
Rfam family: tRNA
About the family: Transfer RNA (tRNA) molecules are approximately 80 nucleotides in length.
Source: Rfam by way of RNAcentral